This 465-nucleotide ribosomal RNA is filed under the name uncultured bacterium. Its description in RNAcentral is "partial 16S ribosomal RNA". It matches the Rfam family "Bacterial small subunit ribosomal RNA", at positions 338 to 795 of the family's 1533-position model. The record is from RNAcentral.
CCUACGGGGGGCAGCAGUAGGGAAUCUUCCACAAUGGACGAAAGUCUGAUGGAGCAACGCCGCGUGAGUGAAGAAGGGUUUCGGCUCGUAAAGCUCUUUUUGUAGUGAAGUAAGAUAGAGGUAGUAACUGGCAUUUAUUUUACGGUAAUUAUUUAGAAAGUCACGGCUAACUACGUGCCAGCAGCCGCUGUAAUAAGUAGGUGGCUAGUGUUGUCUGGAUUUAUUUGGCGUAAAGCGAGUGCAGGCGGUUCAAUAAGUCUGAUGUGAAAGCCUUCGGCUCAACCGGGGAAUUGCAUCAGAAACUGUUGAGCUUGAGUGCAGAAGAGGUGAGUGGAAGUCCAUGUGUAGCGGUGGAAUGCGUAGAUAUAUGGAAGAACACCAGUGGCGAAGGCGGCUCUCUGGUCUGCAACUGACGCUGAGGCUCGAAAGCAUGGGUAGCGAACAGGAUUAGAUACCCUGGUAGUC